Hordeum vulgare subsp. vulgare (domesticated barley) is the source of this 1187-nucleotide long non-coding RNA. RefSeq lists it as uncharacterized. The transcript is spliced from 3 exons. Lineage: Eukaryota; Viridiplantae; Streptophyta; Magnoliopsida; Poales; Poaceae. The record is from RefSeq and is a predicted model, not a curated record.
ACGAGACGGACACGGCAAACGCGACGGCGGCCGAGAUCCGCGCCGCCGCGUUCGACGAGGGAGCCGGGGCACGCAAGCUAGCCUACCGAGAGACUGAUUCGGAGAUGGGCGGGAUGCGGGCCAGCGGCGCGGCAGCGUCGUGGGUUGUGGGAGGAGGCGCACCUCUACGGCAACCGGGACGGCGCCGCCAUCCCGGCGCUCCUCGACUCCCGCUUCGACGGCGACAAGCUCGACGCGCUCAAGAACCUUUUCGCCCUCAUCUCUCAGGGCGUCUACGUCGCCCACCUCUCCCCGCAGGUGGUCAAGAACUUGGCGGCGUAGUCGAUUGAGGUGAAGAGAAGCUCGUCUACCUGCUCCGGCUAGCGUUCCCCUCCUCUCGUCUCGUCUCGUCUCAUCUCACCUCAAGCAAUUACGUGCGUGCUUGCAAGAAGCUCGUCAAGAACGUGAUGGCGCAGUCGCUUGAAGAAGCUCGCCUCAUCUACCUCUACCUGCUCCACUGCCAGAGUUGCCUGCAGUGCAAAUUUUCUUUCCUGUUGGUGACAUGGAAUGUUUGAUCCAGUGGGUUUCUCAAGAGUCAUGAGCUCAAGUAUCCUCUAGGUGACUUGCAACUCUUGUUUGACCUAGCAUUUAGUAAACUAAAUUCUUUCUGAGUAACAUGUAUGCUGAUAAUAGUGAGUGUAAACUGAAGAGACUCAAACACUUAAUGUACAAACAGUUGUCGUUCUUAAAUUUUGUAGCACUGUAGUACUAGGAUGUUUGUUGAAGUGGUGGACACAUGUGGCAGGAUGUGGGACAUCCGCGGGUUAUCCCACAUACAGGCUGCUGAGUCUCUGAGCAAGCGAAGCGAGAUGGUGUUAAGCCAGGCAUACCAUACCGACGUUCGCCUGGACACUUUUUUAGUCGGUCGCAUGGGCUUGGAGCUUGCAUCACGGAGCCACGGAGGGUUAUGUAAUACAGUAGUGUCGCGCACAUUAUUCCUGUGCUUUGUUAUCCGUUUUUCACUGUGUCACAUGAUAUUGUUCCGUUGUUCUUUUUCCAAUUUCUUUCCUUGGUUAUUUUGUUUUUUAUUUAUUUUCUUUGCUUUUUUCAAGACGUGUCUAGUUCUUCUUACACACACUGUAUGUUUUCUUAUACAUCAGGACUAUUUAACCCUAACAUUUUAGAUAUAUGAUUACCAUUUUUUCAAA